AUGGCUGGUGUUCUAACGUGGGCCCGUAAUCCGGGUUGCGGACAGUGUCUGGUGGGUAGUUUGACUGGGGCGGUCUCCUCCUAAAGAGUAACGGAGGAGCACGAAGGUCAGCUAAUCCUGGUCGGACAUCAGGAGGUUAGUGCAAUGGCAUAAGCUGGCUUGACUGCGAGCGUGACGGCGCGAGCAGGUGCGAAAGCAGGUCAUAGUGAUCCGGUGGUUCUGAAUGGAAGGGCCAUCGCUCAACGGAUAAAAGGUACUCCGGGGAUAACAGGCUGAUACCGCCCAAGAGUUCAUAUCGACGGCGGUGUUUGGCACCUCGAUGUCGGCUCAUCACAUCCUGGGGCUGAAGUAGGUCCCAAGGGUAUGGCUGUUCGCCAUUUAAAGUGGUACGCGAGCUGGGUUUAGAACGUCGUGAGACAGUUCGGUCCCUAUCUGCCGUGGGCGCUGGAGAAUUGAGGGGGGCUGCUCCUAGUACGAGAGGACCGGAGUGGACGCAUCACUGGUGUU
Molecule: ribosomal RNA, 507 nt
Filed under: Klebsiella oxytoca
Lineage: Bacteria; Pseudomonadati; Pseudomonadota; Gammaproteobacteria; Enterobacterales; Enterobacteriaceae
Description: partial 23S ribosomal RNA
Rfam family: Bacterial large subunit ribosomal RNA
Source: RNAcentral